This 100-nucleotide ribosomal RNA is filed under the name Rhinopithecus roxellana (golden snub-nosed monkey). Lineage: Eukaryota; Metazoa; Chordata; Mammalia; Primates; Cercopithecidae. The record is from RNAcentral.
UUUGGAGGCAAUACCACCCAGAUCCUGGUAGCUAAGCAGGGUUGGGCCUGGCCAGUACUUGGAUGACAAGACUGCCUGGGAAUACCGUGUGCUGUAGGCU